AAAGUCGUAACAAGGUUUCCGUAGGUGAACCUGCGGAAGGAUCAUUAACAAAUCUGCUAUAUGGGCGGGCCUCGGCCCGUGCAUAUAUAUCUACCCCGAGCCUGGCAGUGAUGCCGGGCUUUGGUUGGGCGGGUGCGCAAGCACCUGCUCGGUCGGCUAGUGUCGUGCGUGUUGGGGCCCGCUAGGGUCCUGGCUGUACGGCGCGGCUACAUAGACGCUUGUAUGGUUUGACAGAGGUUUACACGGUUGUAAAACUAAAAUGACAACUUUUAACAAUGGAUCUCUUGGCUCUU
Molecule: unclassified non-coding RNA, 293 nt
Filed under: Rozellomycota sp.
Lineage: Eukaryota; Fungi; Rozellomycota
Description: Cryptomycota sp. partial contains small subunit ribosomal RNA, internal transcribed spacer 1, and 5.8S ribosomal RNA
Rfam family: Eukaryotic small subunit ribosomal RNA (bases 1-47)
Source: RNAcentral